CCUACGGGCGGCUGCAGUGAGGAGUAUUGGUCAAUGGACGAGAGUCUGAACCAGCCAAGUAGCGUGAAGGAUGACUGCCCUAUGGGUUGUAAACUUCUUUUAUAUGGGAAUAAAACGUUCCACGUGUGGGAUUUUGUAUGUACCAUAUGAAUAAGGAUCGGCUAACUCCGUGCCAGCAGCCGCGGUAAUACGGAGGAUCCGAGCGUUAUCCGGAUUUAUUGGGUUUAAAGGGAGCGUAGGUGGAUUGUUAAGUCAGUUGUGAAAGUUUGCGGCUCAACCGUAAAAUUGCAGUUGAAACUGGCAGUCUUGAGUACAGUAGAGGUGGGCGGAAUUCGUGGUGUAGCGGUGAAAUGCUUAGAUAUCACGAAGAACUCCGAUUGCGAAGGCAGUUCACUGGACUGCAACUGACACUGAGGCUCGAAAGUGUGGGUAUCAAACAGGAUUAGAUACCCUAGUAGUC
Molecule: ribosomal RNA, 460 nt
Filed under: uncultured bacterium
Lineage: Bacteria
Description: partial 16S ribosomal RNA
Rfam family: Bacterial small subunit ribosomal RNA
Source: RNAcentral